Molecule: microRNA precursor, 57 nt
Filed under: Mus musculus (house mouse)
Lineage: Eukaryota; Metazoa; Chordata; Mammalia; Rodentia; Muridae
Also listed under: 1 other name
Description: Mmu-Mir-674_pre stem-loop
Source: RNAcentral
GCACUGAGAUGGGAGUGGUGUAAGGCUCAGGUAUGCACAGCUCCCAUCUCAGAACAA